AACCAGUACCGUGAGGGAAAGGUGAAAAGCACUUCGAACAGAAGAGUGAAAUAGUUCCUGAAACCGUGCGCCUACAAGCGGUCGGAGCUCGUUAAUGAGUGACGGCGUGCCUUUUGCAUAAUGAACCUACGAGUUGCCUUUGCCGGCAAGGUUAAGUGUGACGACACACGUAUCCGAAGCGAAAGCGAGUCUGAACAGGGCGUAUAGUCGGCAGUGGCAGACGCGAAACCAAGUGAUCUACCCUUGGCCAGGUUGAAGGCUGGGUAACACCAGCUGGAGGACCGCACCAAUAAGCGUUGAAAAGCUUCUGGAUGAGCUGAGGGUAGGGGUGAAAGGCUAAUCAAACUUGGAGAUAGCUCGUACUCCCCGAAAUGCAUUUAGGUGCAGCCUUGUGAGUUACUAAUGUGAGGUAGAGCGACUGAUAAGAUGCGAGGGCUUCACCGCCUAUCAAGUCUUGAUAAACUCCGAAUGCGCAUUAGUUCUAUCACAGGAGUGAGGGCAUGGGUGCUAAGGUCCAUGUCCUAAAGGAGAAGAAUCCGGACCAUCAGCUAAGGUCCCGAAAUAGAUACUAAGUUGAACUAACGAAGUCAGAUUGCUAAGACAGCUAGGAUGUUGGCUUGGAAGCAGCCAUUCAUUUAAAGAGUGCGUAACAGCUCACUAGUCGAGGAGUUUGGCGUGGAUAAUAAUCGGGCAUAAGUAUUCUACCGAAGCUUUGGGAUGAGAAAUCAUCGGUAGGGGAGCAUUCCACUCCGCGUCGAAGGUGAAGCGUGAGCUUUGCUGGAGCGUGUGGAAAAGCAAAUGUAGGUAUAAGUAACGAUAAAGGGGGCGGGAAACCCCCUCGCCGAAAGACUAAGGUUUCCUGAUCAACGCUAAUCGGAUCAGGGUCAGUCGGGUCCUAAGGCUCAGCCGAACGGCGAUGCCGAUGGCAGAAACGGUUAAUAUUCCGUUACUACCUUCAGGAGUGACGUGGAGACGCAGUAGUGACAGUGCCGCCAUCUGACGGAAUAGAUGGUUGAAGGGUGUAGGAGUCGAUCAUGGCAGGCAAAUCCACCAUGAGAUCCGAACCUGAUAGUAUGCCGCGUCCUUCGGGACAAGGCAAUAGUGCGCGUAAGCAUGCUGCCGAGAAAAUCCGCUAAACUUAAUCCUGCAGGUACCCGUACCGCAAACGGACACACGUAGUCGGGUUGAAUAUACUAAGGCGCUUGAGUGAUUCACGGUUAAGGAACUAGGCAAACUGACCCUGUAACUUCGGGAUAAAGGGUCCCUACCCUUUUAUGGGAGGGCGCAGAGAAUCGGUCCAGGCAACUGUUUAACAAAAACACAGGGCUGUGCGAAGUCGAAAGACGCUGUAUACAGCCUGACACCUGCCCGGUGCUGGAAGGUUAAGAGGAGAUGUCAUCGCAAGAGAAGCAUUGAAUUGAAGCCCCAGUAAACGGCGGCCGUAACUAUAACGGUCCUAAGGUAGCGAAAUUCCUUGUCGGGUAAGUUCCGACCUGCACGAAUGGUGUAAUGAUCUGGACACUGUCUCAACCGUGAGCUCAGUGAAAUUGUAGUAUCGGUGAAGAUGCCGAUUACCCGCGAUGGGACGAAAAGACCCCGUGAACCUUUACUAUAGCUUAUCAUUGAAUCUGGGCACGUGAUGUGUAGGAUAGGUCGGAGGCUUUGAAGCAGGUACGCCAGUAUUUGUGGAGCCGCUGUUGAAAUACGACCCUUUAUUUGUUUGGAUUCUAACCCGUGGAACGGGGACAUUGAUUGGUGGGUAGUUUGACUGGGGUGGUCGCCUCCAAAAGCGUAACGGAGGCUUCUAAAGGUGCCCUCCGGCCGAUUGGUAACCGGCCUUAGAGUGUAAUGGCAUAAGGGCGCUUGACUGGGAGACUAACAAGUCGAUCAGGUAGGAAACUAGAGCAUAGUGAUCCGGUGUUUCCGUAUGGAAGGGACAUCGCUCAAAGGAUAAAAGGUACUCCGGGGAUAACAGGCUGAUCCCUCCCAAGAGCUCAUAUCGACGGAGGGGUUUGGCACCUCGAUGUCGGCUCGUCACAUCCUGGGGCUGGAGAAGGUCCCAAGGGUUGGGCUGUUCGCCCAUUAAAGUGGCACGCGAGCUGGGUUCAGAACGUCGUGAGACAGUUCGGUCCCUAUC
This 2137-nucleotide ribosomal RNA is filed under the name human gut metagenome. RNAcentral describes it as "bacterial LSU rRNA". It matches the Rfam family "Bacterial large subunit ribosomal RNA", at positions 493 to 2642 of the family's 2925-position model. The record is from RNAcentral.